UAGGGGAUCUUCCACAAUGGGCGAAAGCCUGAUGGAGCAACGCCGCGUGUGUGAUGAAGGGUUUCGGCUCGUAAAACACUGUUGUAAGAGAAGAAUGACAUUGAGAGUAACUGUUCAAUGUGUGACGGUAUCUUACCAGAAAGGAACGGCUAAAUACGUGCCAC
Molecule: ribosomal RNA, 164 nt
Filed under: uncultured bacterium
Lineage: Bacteria
Description: partial 16S rRNA
Rfam family: Bacterial small subunit ribosomal RNA
Source: RNAcentral